Molecule: ribosomal RNA, 207 nt
Filed under: uncultured bacterium
Lineage: Bacteria
Description: partial 16S ribosomal RNA
Rfam family: Bacterial small subunit ribosomal RNA
Source: RNAcentral
CUCGUAGGUGGCCAACUAAGUCAGACGUGAAAUCCCUCGGCUUAACCGGGGAACUGCGUCUGAUACUGGAUGGCUUGAGUUUGGGAGAGGGAUGCGGAAUUCCAGGUGUAGCGGUGAAAUGCGUAGAUAUCUGGAGGAACACCGGUGGCGAAGGCGGCAUCCUGGACCAACACUGACGCUGAGGAGCGAAAGCCUGGGGAGCAAACG